Long non-coding RNA from Limulus polyphemus (Atlantic horseshoe crab), 4354 nucleotides. RefSeq lists it as uncharacterized. The transcript has 3 exons. The record is from RefSeq and is a predicted model, not a curated record. NCBI's taxonomy places the organism in Eukaryota, Metazoa, Arthropoda, Merostomata, Xiphosura, Limulidae.
GAUAUCCUUCUGUAUUGUAAGGGAAAAGUAUCAGGCUUUGAAAUAUCUCCUCUCUCCAUUUGCGGUUGCUCACAUUUGUUAGUACUAUUGCACAGUACUUCCCGUUUGAUAUUAUUGUUAGGUGAUUUUUUUGCAAAUCUCUGAAUUGUUUCUAGAAAUCUGUGAUAUUGAUGAAUUCUGUUUACUUCCUCCUCUGUGUAACUCCAAUCCACUUCCUCCUGUCCUCUCUGUCCUCAUCCAUACUGUGUAUCUGCAACAUGGGACUCUUCCUCCUCUUGAAACAGUUGGAGGAUUGCCUGAAUGAAUUUCCAAUUACCAUUCCAUAUAUUUUUCCUGUAGAAGCAAUUCUGAAUAUAUAUAUAUAUGAAAUUCUAUUUAAAGGAGUUUCUAUAAUUGUUUUUGUACCUUGCGCCUUGUUUCAAAGAGUACUUUAAUGUGUUUUCCUCUUCUGAGUCCUACUCAAUGUAUAGGUGUUAUGUAGUAUUGUUAAUAAUAUAUAAUAAUACUUUAAUGGUCAGACAUAACUCGUAAUGUUUUUAAAAUUGAACUUAAUACCUGGUCAGAAUUUAAAAGUCAAAUAAACUUGGUCAGAAUCCUUAGCAUAAUUAAUAUGAUUGAUUCUCCUGAACUACAGAAAAGUUAUUGAAUAUUUUAUAACACUCGUAACUUAGGCCUAGAAAUCUAUAAGUGCUGAAAAUUUCUGGACAGCAGAUUGGAGAUCAGCAAACUUACUUGAAUCAAAUUUUACAGAGAGGAUGUGAUCACAUUCAAGUGUAGAAGUUUUUACAGUCUUGUAGUUCCUUGAGUUCUAAGAUAGUAUAUAAAUGUCACUAAGGAUGGUGUGGAGUUACUAUGUUUUCCAUAGACCUAACCAACUGCCAAACAUCAUCAUGCUCGAGCUAUUAGAAAACUUGGAUUUGUGUGUGAUGGUUAGAAAAGGUCUAAUUCUGAACAGAUUGCACGCCAGAUAUCAGACACGUUGAACAGAUGACCAUGAUCAUUGUAUUUGUUGAAAUAAAGCCAGAUUCUGAUCAUUGUGAUCUGGUAGGUAUAAAAGAACGCUUCUUAGGGUUUAUGCCACUCAAGGAGAAAACUGGUUUUCGAAUGAGACACAAUCCUUCAUCAAUUGGCUGAAAUGUCAUUGCCGAUCAAAAAGUUGUGUGGUCGCACUGAAACCUCUUCAGUAUCAGUUGGGUGAGAUAUAUGAUGUAAUGAUGGAGACUGCUGAUGAUCAUACUUUGACAGGUUCAUCUGGCAAUACUCCAUGUGUAGGUGCACAUGGUCUUGCCAAUGGCAUUUCUAAGUUCAAGUUUGUUGCUUCACUUGUCAUCUGGUAUGAACUUUUAUUCUCGAUAAACCUAUUGAGUAAACAACUCUAGGCAAAGGACCUCAAUAUGAAACAACUGAGGGCAACAGGAGUGAUGCAGGCCUAGAGAAAGAGCUAGCUGACGCCCGUUAACUUGAAAUAGCAGCAGAGUUUGAUCCGUAGCAGACGAGGAAAAAACUUUUCAUAUGAAGGAGUUGAUGAUCCUAUCUAGAGUUGUAAGGAAAGGUUCAAAGUUGAGUAGUGAUUCACACAGCUGCACCAACAUAAUUCCGUGUUUGGUUUUCUGUACGAUUUUCACAGCAUACACGACAAAACAGCACAACAAAUUAUGGGUUGCUGCUUUAAAGAAAGCUCAAUGUUCAAAGUUAUUUUUUCUCCCAAAAGAAUUUAAUGAUCUCAAGUUAGAUGAUCUAUAUAUCACUUGUCUCAUCAUAACUUCAACCACACCUGAAGACAUAUAAAGGUGUGGAAAUAUAAGAGAAAAGAAAAAAAGAUAGACAAUUUAGUUAGACACAUGAUGUUCAUCUGUGAAGGACAUCAUAAUUCCUCUAACAGGUAGAAUAACCUGCUUACCUUUAUAAACACUGAACACGUGCCAGUACAGUAGUGGAAAUGAAAAUGUAUAUGACUGUCUGCUGUUCAGCCUACAAGACGUGUCAACAUAACAAGUACAUCUGCUUAUGUAGUGUUUGCCAAUUUCAGUGGAUUAUAAAUAACAGGGUUCUUAGUCAAAGUGAUUCAAUGGAAAUAAGAGAUGAAUCUACUACAGAGAUUUCUGGUGAUGAAUAAAACAGCAAACAUUAGGGCACCUACAUGGGAACAAACUUCUGCUAUACCUGCCAUGCAAAUGCAGUGUCCAAAAAUUACAGUUCCAUCAUUUUCAUAUAUCAACCGUGGAAACAAAUGUGUUAUUCAUCCUUUGAGAAUGCUUCACUUUUCCAGAAAUAUGCACUUGUUGUUUACUACUAUCUGUACUGUGUUUAGCACCCAUCCACAAAUAACUCUAUGAUUGAAAAGACUUGUAUGCUUUCAAUUCCUGUAAUAUAUAAGUACACUGUGAGUAAAAUAAAUAAUUGACUACCUCUAUAUAUGUGACUUCUGGCCAUUUUGUCAUGUCAUUGCUCAAGUCCCAUUUCGUGAUCUUGUAUGGAUCUUUACUGUCUAUCACCCAGGGGUAGUGUGAGGAUUUCAUAAAAAAUUCAUAUGCUAUGCAUAGGUUUAGCCCCUGGGCCCCGAUGUAUUAUUAUACCACCUAUGUAUGCCUAAUCUAGGCCUACAUGCCAAACCUAAAUGUGUAAAAUAUUACUAAUUAGCCCUACAUACAGUGAGAGACUUUUUACUUUAUACAGUGAGAGAGAUGUUUUACUUGUAUACCCCAGGCUUGUUUAGGGGCCUUAUAUGUUAUAAAAAUGUAAUUUUAAUUAAUGCAACCAUAAAUAAAACUUUAACUGGGGCAUAAUGAUGUUGUAAUCCAAAAUAAGAGACUUACUAGUACAUAUAAACUCUCUCACCAGUCAUUGUGAUAGUAAGUAGAUCUGUUAACAGAAACUAUGACUAAAGCUUAGUUUGUAUUGUGAUUAUCCAUCUCACUGUCCCUGAUUUUCUAGCAAUCGUUGACCUUGUCUUUUUGAUUCAAGACCCAUGAUUCUGGACUUGCGAUACUCAUUGUCACGUAAAGUCGUUCACAAAGUAACAUUGCACAUUUACUGUUGCUAUGUUACAUAUCCACACAGUCAACUGGCAAAGACCUCUGUGAAAAAUACCUAUAUAAGGCUAACUUUUUUUAAUCUCACAGUCAGUGUCCUUUGCUACUGAUUGAACAUAGUACAUAGUAAAACCACACAUUGUAAACAGUUAUUAUUCACAACUAGGCUGUGGUAGAAUGGUAAACCUAACUCUAACCCUAGCCCUCCUAUUCUAAUUAAAUACUCUCUUCGAACAUCUAAAUGCAUUUUAACGUGAACUUCACCAUAAUCAGACAAUACAUCACUAACCCCACUUUAACCCUUUCUCUUUGAGCUUAGUUCACCCAAAAGGCCGAUUUUGGUCUUUCUUAGCAAUAAAUAUAAUAUAAUAAAUUGAGAAAAAGAAAUCUGUUUUAUCUAACUUUAUUUUGUAGGCUCAAAUUCCUUUACAUGUGGGUUUUAAUAAAGAUAAAUGCUAUAAAUAAUUAAUCUAAGUAUGAUUAAACUGAUCUAAGCUGUACAAGGCCUAUCUCUGAAACUUUCAGACAACAAAGCCUCAGGUCAUCUUCUGUAAGAGUAAAAGCCGCAAGAAAAUAAGUUAGGCUUAGGCUAUGCCACGUAGGUUUCUCAUGACUUGGAUAACCUCAUUUAAGAUGAAGUAAGAGAUGAAUCAGAACCUUAAUAAAGGGCAUGUAGCACUGAAAUGUUUGUGCCCACUUCAACAAAUACAAUACAUCAAACACCCCUAUCUUGUUGCUUUAAAAAUUUUUGUUGUUGACCAAAAUAAAGGCUGAAAGUUAUAAAUGGAGCAAUUAUUGUAAAAAACAAAACUAAACAGUAGAAUUUUGACUCAACACUUAAUAUUCAUAGGUUUAGGAAAAAUAAACUGUCCUUAAGUAGUUCAGUGGUAAGAUCACAGAAUUACAAAGCUAAAAUCCAGGGUUUGAUUCUCUGUGGUGGAGAGCUUUUCUUUAAAACAAAAAGGAAAUAAACUGCUGUAAAUUACAUAGAACAAAAAAUAUAAAUAUAUGAUGUUGCAGUUCAAUGUUGGAAAUACAAAUUAUCUAUUGAAAAUUGAAACUUUCAGUGUAUAUGUAAAUCCCAAAUUAUUUGUUCUGUUCUAUUAAAAAUAAUUUUGAUGUAUGACAGCAACUGCAAUUUUAAAUUUUGUAAAACAUAAUUAAGUCUUAGCAUCAAAGAAUUUUUCAGGAGAUAAAUUCCCUUAUAAUAAUUUUAAAGAUGUUGGAACUAUUACAGAUUGAGCAUUGGAAGAUAUAAAACCCUUAAUUUGUUAAACAUCUAACAAAAUUUUUGUUAUGAACUACUAUAAUGAACUACUACA